GCCUUCGUGGUGUAAUGGUCAGCACACUGAGCCGGUAUUUCAGAGGUCCGCGGUUCGAUCCCCAGCGAAGACC
Stegodyphus mimosarum is the source of this 73-nucleotide non-coding RNA. The record is from Rfam. Lineage: Eukaryota; Metazoa; Arthropoda; Arachnida; Araneae; Eresidae.